This 339-nucleotide unclassified non-coding RNA is filed under the name soil metagenome. RNAcentral describes it as "partial contains 5.8S ribosomal RNA, internal transcribed spacer 2, and large subunit ribosomal RNA". The stretch from base 1 to 121 matches the Rfam family "5.8S ribosomal RNA", at positions 35 to 154 of the family's 154-position model. The record is from RNAcentral.
GAUGAAGGAACGCAGCGAAAUGCGAUACGUAGUGUGAAUUGCAGAAUUCAGUGAAUCAUCGAAUCUUUGAACGCACAUUGCGCCCUUUGGUAUUCCAAAGGGCAUGCCUGUUCGAGCGUCAUUUGUACCCUCAAGCUUUGCUUGGUGUUGGGCGUCUUGUCUCCAGUCCGCUGGAGACUCGCCUUAAAGUCAUUGGCAGCCGGCCUACUGGUUUCGGAGCGCAGCACAAGUCGCACUCUUUUCCAGCCAAGGUCAGUGUCCAACAAGCCUUUUUUCAACUUUUGACCUCGGAUCAGGUAGGGAUACCCGCUGAACUUAAGCAUAUCAAUAAGCGGAGGA